CAGCCGUAAACAAUGUGCGUUAGGUGUGUCGGUAACCACGUGUUACUGAUGCGCCGAAGAGAAAUCGUGAAACGCACCACCUGGGAAGUACGGUCGCAAGGCUGAAACUUAAAGGAAUUGGCGGGGGGAGCACCACAACAGGUGGAGCCUGCGGUUUAAUUGGAUUCAACGCCGGACAUCUCACCGGAUAAGACAGCUGAAUGAUUGUCAAUCUGAAGGUUUUACAUGACUAGCUGAGAGGAGGUGCAUGGCGUA
RNAcentral lists this ribosomal RNA (255 nucleotides) under uncultured archaeon. Its description in RNAcentral is "partial 16S ribosomal RNA". It matches the Rfam family "Archaeal small subunit ribosomal RNA", at positions 748 to 1001 of the family's 1478-position model. The record is from RNAcentral.